GAUGCAUACAUGAAAGUGUUACUCCGCUGAUUAUUUGAUGAAAGUAUGUGAAGAAAAACGCAGUAAAAUUGUCUACAUCAUAAGGAUACCAAGCUUCCAAUGGAAGAAUCAAAAACGUGCCAGCUUCUAAUAUCGAUUGCACUUUCAACAUCGAGGCUCUAUAAAAAAUCAAUGUUACUUCAUUGCCGUACCAACAAAAGAAGAAUAAUUCUAUCACGACCGCCGAAAAGAAUUGCAUAGUCAUCAUGAAUUCUACACUUGCUAUGUGUUGCGUUGAUAGUAAAAAGAUGCUCAAGCACAAAUUUGGAUCUCCAGUUGAGCGCAAGUCUGCAGCAGCAGAGCGAUAAUGAGGCAGUCUUUGGCAGCGUGGACUAAAGUGGCGAUGCCAGUUCCAAAUGAUUGAUGCCAGAACAGUAACCAGUAGCAGCCAGGAUUCUCAACGUUGC
Molecule: long non-coding RNA, 446 nt
Organism: Phymastichus coffea
Lineage: Eukaryota; Metazoa; Arthropoda; Insecta; Hymenoptera; Eulophidae
Exons: 4
Source: RefSeq, a predicted model, not a curated record